CCUACGGGAGGCAGCAGUGGGGAAUAUUGCACAAUGGGCGGAAGCCUGAUGCAGCGACGCCGCGUGGGGGAUGACGGCCUUCGGGUUGUAAACCUCUUUCAGCUCCGACGAAGCGAGAGUGACGGUAGGGGCAGAAGAAGCGCCGGCCAACUACGUGCCAGCAGCCGCGGUAAGACGUAGGGCGCGAGCGUUGUCCGGAUUUAUUGGGCGUAAAGAGCUCGUAGGCGGCUUGUCGCGUCGUCCGUGAAAACCCGUGGCUCAACUGCGGGCUUGCGGUCGAUACGGGCAGGCUGGAGUUCGGUAGGGGAGACUGGAAUUCCUGGUGUAGCGGUGAAAUGCGCAGAUAUCAGGAGGAACACCGGUGGCGAAGGCGGGUCUCUGGGCCGAUACUGACGCUGAGGAGCGAAAGCGUGGGGAGCGAACAGGAUUAGAUACCCUUG
This 440-nucleotide ribosomal RNA is filed under the name uncultured bacterium. RNAcentral describes it as "bacterial SSU rRNA". It matches the Rfam family "Bacterial small subunit ribosomal RNA", at positions 338 to 790 of the family's 1533-position model. The record is from RNAcentral.